GCUAAUACCGCAUACGCCCCACGGGGGAAAGCAGGGGACCUUCGGGCCUUGCGCGAUUGGAUGAACCCAGGUGGGAUUAGCUAGUUGGUGAGGUAACGGCUCACCAAGGCGACGAUCCCUAGCUGGUCUGAGAGGAUGAUCAGCCACACUGGAACUGAGACACGGUCCAGACUCCUACGGGAGGCAGCAGUGGGGAAUAUUGCACAAUGGGGGAAACCCUGAUGCAGCCAUGCCGCGUGUGUGAAGAAGGCCUUCGGGUUGUAAAGCACUUUCAGCGAGGAGGAGGUCAGUAGCAUAUCUGCGCCUGUGACGUUCGCAGAAGAAGCACCGGCUAACUCCGUGCCAGCAGCCCCGGUAAUACGGAGGGUGCAAGCCGUUAAUCCGGAGUUUACUGGGCGUAAAGCGCACGCAGGCGGUUUGGGUAAGUUAGAUGUGAAAGCCCCCGGGGCUCAACCUGGGAAUUGCAUUUAAAACUUGUCCAGCUAGAGUCUUGUAGAGGGGGGUAGAAUUCCAGGUGUGGCGGUGAAUG
This 529-nucleotide ribosomal RNA is filed under the name uncultured bacterium. RNAcentral's name for it is "bacterial SSU rRNA". It matches the Rfam family "Bacterial small subunit ribosomal RNA", at positions 162 to 688 of the family's 1533-position model. The record is from RNAcentral.